CUGCUGCUGCCAGCUUGGCACAUGACAACCUGUAAUGCUUAACGAGAUUGGAAACGAGGAGGUGGUAUGACACACGACGCAUUAUGGAGUUGCCAAAGCUACCCUAAUUCAAUGAAGUCUUGGGCUGCUGUAAGGAAGAGCUGGAGACCAUGCUGAAACGUCGCUGGAGACAGAACGCUGAACCAUUAAUUCUCCAUAUUACACAUAUACAGUAGCAGAAGACGAGAACAUCUGGAGCUCACCUUCCUCCUUUUCAGCUGGUCUAACAGUGGACACCCGAGAGAGAAGAG
Salmo salar (Atlantic salmon) is the source of this 290-nucleotide non-coding RNA. NCBI's taxonomy places the organism in Eukaryota, Metazoa, Chordata, Actinopteri, Salmoniformes, Salmonidae. The record is from RefSeq and is a predicted model, not a curated record.